UAGAUGAUGAUGUAUAUUUUGGUGAGAUGUUGGAGAGCUACUUAUGUAUUUGAAGAUGAACUUGUAUUAUAUUUUGGGAGAUGUAAAUGUAAUUGUAGUACACUGAACUUUGGCAAGUUGCGAAGUUCGAGUGUUAGAAGGGCCAUUGGAACUAUUCUACAUCUUUUGAAGUGUGGUCGAGAGGUUUUCGGCAAGUUAUUGGAGUGAAUAAGUGGUUGGAAGCGCAAAAGUGCAUUGAAAUGGUAAAAAUCUGUAUUUUGUAUUUGUAGUAUUCUGAA
This 278-nucleotide long non-coding RNA is filed under the name Ananas comosus (pineapple). RNAcentral's name for it is "long non-coding RNA (ACOM_LNC012146)". Lineage: Eukaryota; Viridiplantae; Streptophyta; Magnoliopsida; Poales; Bromeliaceae. The record is from RNAcentral.